RNAcentral lists this transfer RNA (90 nucleotides) under Mycobacterium kansasii. RNAcentral's name for it is "tRNA-Arg(gcg)". The record is from RNAcentral. Lineage: Bacteria; Bacillati; Actinomycetota; Actinomycetes; Mycobacteriales; Mycobacteriaceae.
GCCGGCGCAGGCUGGUGCAGCGCUGGCCGGCGGUGCCGGCGGCGGCGAACACGAUGCCGCGCACCGCUAGUUCCAGAUCGGCCGACGGGG